AUAUUUUAUUGGUCUAAAUAGAUUUUAUUAUUGAUCAAAACUGCAUUGAUAUACAGUGUAUCACAAAAGUGAGCACACCCCUCACAUUUCUGCAGAUAUCUAAGUAUAUCUUUUCAUGGGACAACACUGACAAAAUGACACUUUGACAAAAUGAAAAGUAGUCUGUGUGCAGCUUAUAUAACAGUGUAACUGUAUUCCUCCCUCAAAAUAACUCUGAAUACAGUCAUUAAUGUCUAAACCACCAGCAACAAAAGUGAGUACACCCCUAGACUAUACCCCAAAAUGUCAUGUGACUAGUUAGUGUUACUAGGUAUAAGGUGUGCAUAGGGAGCAAGUGUGUUAGAUUUUGUAGUACAGCUUUCACACGCUCUCAUACUGGUCACUGAAAGUUCCAACAUGGCACCUCAUGGUAAAGAACUCUCUGAGGAUCUUGAAAGAUGAAUUGUUGCGCUACAUGAAGAUGGCCAAGGCUACAGGAGGAUUGCUAACACCCUGAAACUGAGCUGCAGUACAGUGGCCAAGAUCAUCCAGCUUUCUAAAAGAGGGAGGUCCAUUCAGAACAGAUCUUGCAUUGGUCGUCCAAAGAAGCUCAGUGCAAGUGCUCAGCGUUACAUCCAAAUGUAGAGAUUGAAGAGGUGGGAGAACAACCUGUCAGAGCUCAGACCAUAUGCAUCAAAUUAGUCUGCAUGGCUGUCACCCUCGAAGGAAGCCUCUUCUGAAGUCUACACACAAGAAAGCCCGCAAACAGUUUGCUCAAGAUAUGUCAACAAGGGUAUGGAUUACUGGAACUAGGUCCUAUGGUCUGAUGAGACCAAGAUUAAUUUGUUUGGUUCAGAUGGUCUCCAGCAUGUGUUGUAGCUGUCAGGUGAAGAGUACAAAGAUAAGUGUGUGAUGCCUACAGUCAAGCAUGGUAGUGGGAAUGCCAUGGUCUGGAGCUGCAGGAGUGCAGCAGAUGUUGGGGAGUUACAUUUCAUGAACUCCAAUAUGUACUGUGAACUACUGAAGCAGAGCAUAAUUCCUUCCCUCUGGAAAUUGUGUCACAGAGCACUGUUCCAGUAUGAUAAUGACCCCAAACACACCUCUAAAGCCCCUUUACCACUGGCUCUACUUCAACAACCCGAUUCGGUUCGGCUCCAUUUCGGAGUGACCACCACCGGCCCAAUUUGACUCUGUAACAGGGUUAGGAUAGCUAACCCCCUGGUGGCGGGGGCGUGUAGCGCCCCGCCUCCAGGCGCCAUGUGAUGUCCUUCGUUACAUGCGACCUAACGCGAGUUGUUGUUUUUCUGAUACAAAAGAAGAAGAGAGAACUGAGCUAUUUUUUAUGGUCUGAUUGCGAUUUUUCUGAGAUUUCAAGAAAAUGCGCCGGUGGGAGGAAUGCUGCGAUGUGGUGAGGAGGAGCUGAUCUCCGCCUUGCAGCGGGAGGAACGCAGGUGGCUCAGACUGUGCAGAUGUUGGUAAACUGCCGCUGCAGACCAUCGUGGUUCUUCCUGCUCCUCUGAGUUGUAGGACGUCUCAUCAGUGUCCGUCUUCCUGAAUGCUGGUCUGUGUUUACCUUCAGGAUGUUCAGAGACCUUCACCUUUCUGGAGCAGGAAUCACAUGAGCUCAAUAUGCUGAUGAAACAUUUCUGAUUUAAAAAAAAAAGUGUCUCAUUUUCUUAAAUAGUAGAAGUGCAUUAACAAUCUGUAGUUUUUAACUUCUCAAUAGUUUAAUUAUGAUUCACCUGAUGUCCAAGUUAUACUGAGAACAAAUAAAGCCGUAUUCCUUCUAA
This is a long non-coding RNA of Poecilia latipinna (sailfin molly), 1769 nucleotides long. RefSeq lists it as uncharacterized. Lineage: Eukaryota; Metazoa; Chordata; Actinopteri; Cyprinodontiformes; Poeciliidae. The record is from RefSeq and is a predicted model, not a curated record. The transcript has 2 exons.